Molecule: long non-coding RNA, 1226 nt
Filed under: Gallus gallus (chicken)
Lineage: Eukaryota; Metazoa; Chordata; Aves; Galliformes; Phasianidae
Description: long non-coding RNA NONGGAT009223
Source: RNAcentral
CACCGGUGAGAUGGCAGCAUCAGGUGCUGAUGUGCUGCCAUUUCAUCCAAGGAGCAGCAGGUCGCCCUGAGGCCAUCGGGGACUGAUUCCAUCCAUGGGGAUGAGGCCAUGCAGUGUGAGAAAGUGCUGUUGUGUAAUGAUGAAGAAUGGAAGCUCCUGCUGGAAGCCGAGCAAGAUUGCACUUGCGCUGCUUAUCUGGCUGCUUGAUCCAUGAGAACGUGUCUCGGAGCAUCUGGAAACGUGUGGAUAGCUUCCAUCCCCUCCCAGAGACUUGCGGGUCCUGGCUGCGCGCAGGAGGAGGACGGGAGAUUUGGAGCCGUGGCCGCUCUGCAUGGCAACAUGCCUGUGAGGUUUGCUGUGCUUGGAUAGAGCAGAACUGUGCAAAAACAGAACAAGAUGGGAUUUUUCCAGGUUUAAUUUGAGCUUUAACUUGUUCCAAGUGUAACAUUGAGAUCUUACCGCUUCUUUUGUUUUCCAUGCUCCGCUGCGCUCUGUGGCAGCAGCAGUCACAAGUGUCAGACCAUCAACUAAGCCUGGUUUUGAGUUGAGUGUGAAGGAAACUACACUGACAACGAAAACACUUGCGGGGUAUUGCCAUGCCAAGGCUGUGUGCAGGUUUGGCACCCCUCCUCCCUUUGCACACCCCACAGUGAUGUUGGAGCUCAGUGGGUGAAGGUGGGAGCGGGGCCACUCGUGGCAGCCAUGGUGCAUGGGUCCGGUGGGAUUUGCGUCUCUAUUUCUCUGUUGCUGUUCUGAGUGGAGCUUGUGUGAGUAAACCUAUUGUGGUUUUAAGUUAAUGUGCAAUUGGACAAGGAAGAUUAUUUGAGUGUUUGCUCUGUAUGUUUCUCCUUUGUCUUUUGUCUUGCUUGACUGAUACACAGCAAUGCACUUUGGCAACCUCAGCCUACCCCUCUACUCUCAUUAGCACUCCAGCAUGUGUUUUUACUUUAUGGAGGGCCGCACGGUGUUGCGGACGGCAAUGGGAGAGGAGGUGGUGUGGGUAUGUGGCAACCACUUCUAGCACUGACAGCAUCCUGGCAUUUUUGAGAAGCCAGAGUUGUCACACGGUUUGUUCUGAAAGCCAUUUGCAAUCUUAACUGUAGUAACAGUCAUAAUCAUCGUCCCGCUAGUGCAGAGGAUGUGUGGGAGAAACAGGCCUCCUUGAAAAUUCCCUCCGAGGCCGUGCCAAGCCUGAAGCAAUCUUUUUUUCAUGACGGAAAGCCGUU